CCCUAUGGGGUGCAGCAGGCGCGGGUGACGUGAAGAAGUGCUAUCAGUGCGCCACCUGUUCGGUUGCGUGUCGUAUAUCUCCCGACAACAAGCCUUAUCCUCGCAAGGAGAUGAUCUGGGCGCAGUGGGGACUCAAGGACAAGUUGCUCAACGACCCUGAUGUCUGGUUAUGUCACCAGUGCAACGAUUGCUCGACCCAGUGCCCGCGCGGCGCAUACCCCGCGGACGUGCUCAAAGCCGUGAGGAAGAUGAACAUCCAGGAGCACUCCUGGCCUUCCUUUCUCGGCAAGCUGGCGGGGGAGC
Molecule: ribosomal RNA, 303 nt
Filed under: uncultured prokaryote
Description: partial 16S ribosomal RNA
Source: RNAcentral